UGCGCGCUUAAUGAAUAUGAAACAGUAAUCAAAUUAAGAACGAAACUGUGUACAAAUUUAUCGUUAUAUGCUGCCGGGUAAACUAAAAAUAUUAUUUUAAUUUAAUAUGUUCACUUCUGGAAAAUCGCGCAGCACUUUUAAGCAACGGGAAAGCACAAGGAUUCGUUUAAAAAAAAGUUUGUUGAUUUUUAUUUAGUCUAGUAACCCGUGUUUUGCCAAUUUGAUUAAGGCAUUUUACCCCUGUGGAAGUCACG
RNAcentral lists this long non-coding RNA (254 nucleotides) under Mytilus galloprovincialis (Mediterranean mussel). The record is from RNAcentral. Lineage: Eukaryota; Metazoa; Mollusca; Bivalvia; Mytilida; Mytilidae.